UAUUAAUAGAAGCAUAUGCAUUGGAAAUGAAAAAGUAUGUAGAAUAUUUUGUAUUAAUAUUUUUUUCUAUCAUAGUCUGAAAUCUUUGGAAUCAGCCUAGUAGGAGAAAUAGACUAUAAGAGAAAAAUAUUGACUUAACUGUGAAAAUAUAUACUAUAAUUUAAAACUUCAGAAACAGAUUAGAUAUUUUUGCAUGUAUUUGAAACUUCAUGAGUCACUUAGUGACCAAGUUUUUUUUUUUUUUUUUUUCUUUCAUUCAUUAAUUACAGAGAGCACAAUCCAACGUCUAUCUACCCUGUAUCAUGCACUGUAUUUGGCCUUGGAGAUUCUAAAAAGUUGAAUAAGGGAUCUAGUACUUGCCCUCAAGAUAUGCACUGUCUGAUAGAAGAAAAACAUGUAAAUGUGGGGAAAAUGUUAUUGAGGAUAUGAUGCAUACUUAUCAAUAUCCAGCAGAGAUGGAGAAGGGGAAUCAGUUCUGAUGGCAUGUAAGAGGGUGAACACUUCACAGCAAUUUAUGGUUGACUCUAACCCACUGUGGUUUGAGCAAGCUCUGGGAGUUGGUGAUGGACAGAGAAGCCUGGUGUGCUGCAGUCCAGGGGGUUGCAAAGAGUCAGACACGACUGAGCUGAACUAAACUGAACUGAACUCACCUAGGUUAUGCCAGAGGCAGAGAGGACAGUCUAAGUUGCAGUAGCCUGACUAACCUGUCAGCAAUUAUUGCUGCAAACACCCCAAAAUCUACAUGCACCAGCUCAGCAAGGAAGAUGUUCAGACUGGCUCUGCUGGGAGAGGCAGUGAGACAGAGAUGUGAAACACAUCAAGAUGGAGCCUGAGCACCAGAAAAAGGUCCUAGCUACUGCUUUCAGUGGAACAGUUGUUGGCUGGAGCCUGUGUGGACUGCAUUCUAAAGGUAGUUGAAUGUAGCAUACAGUCACAGGUAAGACUUGCAGAGCUGUUAUUAUGUGCCAGAUAUUCUAAGCUCUUAUAUAUGUUGACUCAUUUUAGUAAUUACAAAAACUCUUAAGGGGUAAAAAAAUUAUUAUUGUAAUUUCACAAAUGGGGAACUGAGAUAAAAAU
Long non-coding RNA from Bos taurus (domestic cattle), 1077 nucleotides. The record is from Ensembl. Lineage: Eukaryota; Metazoa; Chordata; Mammalia; Artiodactyla; Bovidae.